Aedes aegypti (yellow fever mosquito) is the source of this 679-nucleotide long non-coding RNA. RefSeq lists it as uncharacterized. The record is from RefSeq and is a predicted model, not a curated record. Lineage: Eukaryota; Metazoa; Arthropoda; Insecta; Diptera; Culicidae. The transcript is spliced from 3 exons.
UGGAUGCAUAUUUUUACGCCGCAGCGUUUCAGAUUCGACAGACGUCGCGAUUCCAAAACAAAAAACAAUUUUCUCGUUCAGAAGUCCCGCAUAAAUUUCAGUCAAAAGAGCAGACGACGCUAAUUCAGAAAGAUAAGCAAACGUCGCGAUUUGGAAAAUUAAAUUGGAAUCGAACUUAAAUUUGACAGUUCGAAAAUUAUUUCCCCUCCGAUUUCGAUCUGUCAAAAAUAAGUCUGCUUUCCGAGUAGACUUAUUUUGACAGAUGGAGAAUUAUUCAAUAUUGUUUACUACGAACGAGCCGCGUCCUUGGCCACAUCACAUAAGAGACGUAUCCGGAACAAUCGAUACAAAUACGGUGCUAUCUGGAGGAUUUAGUGGUGUUUGAUUAUCGACAAUUCCCACUGGAGUUUGCUCAGAAUCCUACGCCCUUACAAACAGCUUUCGAAAUUGGAAGUGCUGAUAUACAGUGACUCAAACUCAUUUUCGUACGGGCCACUGUUUCGAUAUCAACUUGGUGUAAAACUAUUAAAUGAUCUAUGGACUUCGAUUUAUUUUAUCAAUAACGGAGGUCAUCUAUUGUUUGACAAUCAUAAGCUGUAUUCAUUGACUAAAAUCUUUGGAAUAAUGAAAAAGUAUUGAACUUGUGUCUAAAAAUCACCCAAUUCCAUAUUCGUACACC